RNAcentral lists this ribosomal RNA (459 nucleotides) under uncultured bacterium. Its description in RNAcentral is "bacterial SSU rRNA". It matches the Rfam family "Bacterial small subunit ribosomal RNA", at positions 338 to 795 of the family's 1533-position model. The record is from RNAcentral.
CCUACGGGGGGCUGCAGUAGGGAAUUUUCGGCAAUGGGGGAAACCCUGACCGAGCAACGCCGCGUGUGCGAUGAAGGUCUUCGGAUCGUAAAGCACUGUUGUAAAGGAAGAAUAGCCAUAUUAGAAAUAUGGUCUGACGGUACUUUAUCAGAAAGCCACGGCUAACUACGUGCCAGCAGCCGCGGUAAUACGUAGGUGGCGAGCGUUAUCCGGAAUUAUUGGGCGUAAAGGGUGCGUAGGCGGCAUGUUAAGUUUGUGGUGAAAGCGUGGGGCUCAACCCCAUUAAGCCACAGAUACUGGCAAGCUAGAGUGCAGAAGAGGGUAGUGGAAUUCCAUGUGUAGCGGUAAAAUGCGUAGAUAUAUGGAGGAACACCAGUGGCGAAGGCGGCUACCUGGUCUGUAACUGACGCUCAGGCACGAAAGCGUGGGGAGCAAAUAGGAUUAGAUACCCCAGUAGUC